This 73-nucleotide transfer RNA is filed under the name Marmota monax (woodchuck). Its description in RNAcentral is "tRNA.Ala". It matches the Rfam family "tRNA". From Rfam's summary of the family: Transfer RNA (tRNA) molecules are approximately 80 nucleotides in length. Their secondary structure includes four short double-helical elements and three loops (D, anti-codon, and T loops). The record is from RNAcentral. Lineage: Eukaryota; Metazoa; Chordata; Mammalia; Rodentia; Sciuridae.
UGUGGUUGUGGCUCAAUGAUAGAGCACUUGCCUAGCAUGCAUGAGGCACUGGGUUCGAUCCCCAGAACCAUAU